This 20435-nucleotide long non-coding RNA is filed under the name Manihot esculenta (cassava). RNAcentral describes it as "long non-coding RNA (MESC_LNC005118)". Lineage: Eukaryota; Viridiplantae; Streptophyta; Magnoliopsida; Malpighiales; Euphorbiaceae. The record is from RNAcentral.
UCCUUCAAGCUCAGACGACUGUCUUGUCCUCUCUCACUUGCAUUCUCGAAGGUGAGACUUGCUAAUUUUAAAAAAUCUCACAGAUUUCUUCUCACAAUACUGUGAUUUCAGGUGUCGUGUCCAUAUCUGAGUAGCUUUAAUUCCCGACCUAGUUUGGGUACUCUAAAGCAUACCAAUGAACUGCUGUUAACAGAUGAUUUUAGGCCUUCGAUUUUGGGCCUUUGUCUUUGUCAAUCAUCUUUAUCUGCGCCUUUUGUGUUCUGGGAUUAACUGUUUUAUGCAAAUUUCCCCCUCUAUUUCCCGGGUUAUUCUCUUGUUAUUGUUGUUAUUGAUAUGUGAUGUGAAGCUUUUAUUUUUAUAUAUAUCCCUUUGUUAUAUGCAGAUGAAUAGGGAGAGACUUAUGAAGAUGGCUGGUGCCGUUCGCACUGGUGGGAAGGGCAGCAUGAGAAGGUGGGAUGUGUAUUUCAACUUCUAACUAUCAAAUUUAUCUCAUACGAUAUGCCUAUAUCAAGUAUUUAUCAAUUGGGUACUAUUGAAAUUUUCUUAUGAGUGGUUUGGCUCUGGCUACAAUGAGUUUCUGGCAGUACUUGGUUGCAAAUAUUCUUUUAAAGCUUUGUUCUUUACCACAGAAAGAAGAAGGCUGUACACAAGACUACCACUACGGAUGAUAAAAGGCUUCAGAGUACACUGAAGAGAAUAGGAGUGAAUGCUAUUCCUGCAAUUGAGGAGGUCAACAUAUUCAAGGAUGACACAGUUAUUCAGUUUGUGAACCCCAAAGGUGAAGGCUGCUUAUGCUCGUGGAUUGAUUUAUUUACAUCUUUUAAGCUGGUCAUAGUAAACAAGCUUUAUAAUUUUUUUUUUAAAUUUCAGUUCAAGCAUCAAUUGCUGCCAAUACAUGGGUUGUUAGCGGCUCUCCGCAGACUAAGAGUAUGGCUCUAAUUCUCCCCAUCACUUGUAGGCGUUACAUAACUUUUUUUUCCAAUACUUGGAUUUUCUAGGGUUUUGUUUUCAAUGUCAUGCUUGUGGUUGUGGCUUGCCCCUGAGACUAAGAAGGUUGAUAGUAUUAUGUGAAGAAUGGCCGAAGAGGCCAAGAUGAAGUAACAAAAAUUAUAAAUAAGAAUGUUAUCAAAGGUGACUUUAAGACACUGCUGAAUUUUUUGUGAAAUAAUAGAAAAGCUUAAAAAUUAUGAACUUUAGGAUAUUGUGCGCCUGUAGUUGAUUAAAGAUGCUUCAAAGCUGAAAAGAGCUAUGGUACUUGGACUUGGAUAUGGAUGUCAUAAAUGGGUGCAUAUUAUGGUGAUGUGAAUCUAAGAUUAGACAUGGUGCUUUGAUACUUUAUAUUAUAUAAUAUAAAUUAGAAUAAAAAAUGUGAAGUUAUAUAGUGAUAAUUAUAGUCUAAAUAGAUGAUCAAAUAUAAAAUACAAUUGAAGAACUAUUUUUUUGCAAAUACAUGCACUUAAUCUUGAGAGAGAAGAAUGCUCCAUUAACUAUGCCUGAAUAUGUCACUCAAGUGUUCAAGUGCCUGAAUAUGUGUUAGACAUAUAUUUGAUGUUGUAUCCCAUGAAGUGUCAUGUUGACACGGGUAUGGCAUGAUAAAAUAAAGAAUUGGAGUAUCAAAAGAAAGGAUUCAUGGAGCUAGGCACGUAAGAUGUAAGAUGCACAGUUAAUAAAAUAAGACACCUUAUAUAAUAGAACUGUGCAUAUUAAUAGCAUAAAAGAAUUGGAAUCACCAUUUUUCCUUUUGACUAAAAUAAACUACAUAAAAUUUAGGGUAAAUUACACUUUAGUUUCUGAGUUCUAGUGUAAUUAAAGGAUUGGUUCUUGUAUUUUUAAAAUCGAACACUUAAAUUCCUACAUAAUCAAUCUGUCUAAAUGUGAGGUCCUUGCAUUUAUAAUUCCGUUAGUCAACAUAUCAAAAGGAGAAUAAACAUUUUAAAUAUCUAAAAUAUCCUCAUGAACACUUAAAUCCUUGCCAAUGUGAGUGAAAUAUUUUAUAUUGUGUAAAUUGCACUUUAGUCUCUGAGUUUUGGCAUAAUUAACAUAUUAGUCUUUGUAUUUUUAAAACUGAAUCUUUAAAUUCUCUAUGUUCAGUUCAUGCAAAAUUGUAGAUCUUUCAUCCAUUAUAGACAUUAUUUUAAGGUUAGUGGGUGGUCUCUAAAAUACUUGUAAAAAUCUACAACUAUUUAAAGGUUAUUUAGUACUACUUAAAAAUGACUGAAAUUGUAAAUAUUUUUUUGAAGGUUUUAAAAUUAUCAAAAGUACUGGAGUAUUUCAAUGAUCGAAAGUUGAAGAAAAAUAAGUGUUAAAAAUUAGUUGAAUAUGAUAAUCUGGAUAAAAGCUAAUAGGGACUUAAGCUUUUUUGUAAAUAAAAAAUAAAGGAUCAAAAUGUAUAAGUUUUAAUAGAUCAGGGAAAAUGGAUGAAAUGUUAACUCCUUAAUAUUUUUAAUUUAAAAAGGAGAUAAUAAAGAUAUUUUUAUACUUUUAAUUGCAAGAAAUGGAUGAAAAUAUUAGAAUCUAAACAGACUGAUUAUAAAAGGAUUUAAGUGUUUGGUUUUAAAAAUGUGGAGACUGAUCCGUUAAUUAUAUUAAAAUUCAAGGACUAAUGUGUAAUUUUUCAUUUUAAAAGGGUAAUAAAGACAUUUCUACAUUUUUAACGGCAAAAAUGGAUAGAAUGAUCUCCUAUUUGGACGGACUAAUUAUAGUGAGAUUUAAGUGUUUGGUUUAAAAAAUAUAGGGAUCGAUUUGUUAAUUAUGCUAAAAUUCAAGGACUAAAGUGUAAUUUACCCUAAAACUCAAGUCUAAUAAACAAACUACAUGAUUAUCAAUUCAUGCAAGUUAGUUUAAUGGGCAGCAGAUUCAUUAAAGAAAAAGGCAAAAGAAAAAAGGAAAUGCAGGGAUUAGGAGGCAGCAUGGGUAGAAUGAAGCAAAGGAAGUGAGGAAAGUUGUAGAAUAGACGCUAGAAAGAAGGGAAAAAAGGGACCAAUUGAGAAGCAGCUGUGGCAGAUUGAAGAAAAGGGAGUGAAUGAAAGAGUACGAUAGUAAGCUUAUAAAAGAAAAAGAUCCCAGAAAAUGAAUCUUUUAUGCAUUUUUUUUAUUUCAAUUAAUUGCUGUGCAUGAUGUGAUGGAUUAUAUAAUUUUAAUCUCCUUAAUUACUUUUUACUACUUAUUCUUUGUGUUCCUUGAAUGUUCUCUUUUGGCCUGCCUUUUCCUUUCUUCCUUGUGCAGCCAUUCCUAUUUUCCUUUUUCCAGUUUUCUUCUUGAACUGGAGUCCCAUUGAAGGCUAUUAAGAUAUUCAAAUCCUAACCAAUAAAUUUUGGCACCUGUUUUUUAAUGUAUUUCCAAAAAUCCAUAAAUUGUAUUAACAUAUCUGAUUGCUGAAAUUGGAGAAAACACAACCAAAUUACUUUUGAUGUCCCCAAUAUGAAAUCUAGACCAGAAUUCUAAAUUUUUCAGGUCUUCUGAAUGUUGAAAUUGCAGAAAUACAGUACCAAAAUGCUCUAUGAUAUCUCUAAUAUGAAAUCUAGACUACAUUUUUAAUUAACCAUUCCUCUUGCUCAGACCCAUGUGUACAAUUGAGCUUUUACAUUGCAUGAGAACUAACGAGUUUUCAUUUUCUUUUUCUUCAGAAUUGCAAGAUAUUCUCCCUCAAGUACUAAGCCAUUUGGGUAUGCAAAUUCCAAUGUGCUGCAUGGUAGUUUAGUUAAAUUUGGAGUUUGUAUUUGACCAUAUUCUACUAACUCGAUUUUAUUUUUUAAAUCUGCUAUUGUAAAGGUCCUGAUAAUUUGGACAACUUGAAGAAGUUGGCGGAGCAGAUCCAGAAGCAGGUACCUAGUGAUGGUGCUCCAGCAACUGCAGCACAAGAGGAUGAUGAUGAGGUCCCAGAGCUUGUAGCUGGGGAGACUUUUGAAGCUGCUGCAGAGGAGAGUAACGCUAACCCUGCUUCUUAGGAAAUAUAGACAGGGAGUUUGUGCUAUUUUAUACACUUCCCACCUUUUUGUUUUCCUUUUUUCCCAAGUUCUUGGUUUUGUAGGUUAUAACUCGAUCAUUCAUCUUAUUUUCUAGAGACACUGGAUGGUUGUUCAGAUCCGCUUCAUACUUUCUGAGCAAUUUCUGAUUGGCUCAGUAUUUACCAUUUUAAUUGCAAUUUUUAAAUAGUUGUAGACCUUAAAUCUGUUCUUCCCUCUCUAAGCCACCGAGACAUGUGUAGUAAUUUGGACAAAAGCAAAACAGAGCGUAAUAUGGUUGGAUUUGAGCUUGAAUUGGCCAUGAACUAGUGUCGUUCUGUAUUUUUUAAUUCUUUGCUUAAGCUGAGUCUUGUAAUAAUAAAAUGGGAUAUCCGCAUUAAAAAUUUAAAUCUUUGCUGAUUUUUGCGUCCUAAUCCAAUUUUUUAUUUUUGAUACAAAAUGGUGUAUAUUGAAAAAUAAUUGAUUUAUUUUUAUUAUUUUAAUUUGUUGAUUUAAAAAAUUAAAUCAAAUUGAAAAAAUAAAAAUAUUUAAAUAAAUACACAUGAUAUGAUACAUAUGAUAUGCGAUAUCAACUACUAGUACAUACUCCUCUAUUUGAAAUUUAAAAUUAGAUAAAAUUAUUAAAAUGUUUAAAUUUUGAUUUACUGUGCUAGAAAAUAAAAUUUUGGAUUAAAAUGUAAAAAUUUGCAAAUAUUUAUAUUUUAAUGUUAAUAUUCCUAAUAAAAUAAUACAAAAAAUGAAAUUUUAUUGUACCUAUUUAAAAAUUAUGUAAAUAUUUAAUAAUUCAGGACGUCCACUUGCACUCUCGAGUUUCUUAUAUGCUCUCGAUUAAGAUUCAACUAGUAACGACACUGCACAAGCUUAGCACUUUACCAACGUCAAAUGUCACGCCCUUUGCAAGUACAUGGUCCAUCUUGGACUUGUGGGAGCUCCUAGGAGGUGUGUCAUGGAAAGUAUGAACAUCAUGACCAACACUCUUUACUUUUAGUUCUACAUAGCGCAUUGCAAGUCCGACACAUUACAUAUUCAACAACGUGUGUGGAUGUAAUUGAAUUGAAUUUUAAAGAUUUUGAAGUUUAAUUGGUUUUUUUUUCGCAAGCACAAACUCAGUUUGUUUUUAUUUUGUUAUAAAUUCGUGAUGGGCUGAAUUUAUGGAGUUUUUAAUCUCACCUUAUAUUUAGCUUGUUUACAAAGCUUGUAAAUUCAAAUUUGAAUCAUCAAAUUAAUGAAUAUAGAAAAUGAAAAAUUAAUUGAAUCAGUAAUCAUAAUGGUAAAAUUAAUAAAAUUAUACAAUUUUAAUUAAGAUAUAUUGAAUAUAAAAAGUUAUACGUUUUAUACAUUUCAUAUUUAUAUUUUAUAUUUUUUUUACAAAGCUAAAAUUUUAAAAUUAUUCAUGAUAUUAGCCAACAGAGUAAUAUAAAUUUAAAAAAAAAUUAAUGGUAAAAAAAUAUGACUUUUGAAGUUUUAUUUUUUAUUAAUAAAAAUAAUUUUUUAAAAUUAGAAUCUCAUGUAAAAUCAAAAUCAACAUAUCAAUAAAAGAGAUCCAGUUAGAUAAAGAUAAAAAAAUAUAAUUCGAUACUACAUUAACGGAGAAAACAAAGGUUCGACUAAUAGAGUUACUAAAGAAUCAAGUAACCACUUUCAUUUGGUCUCCAAAAGAUGUAAUAUGUGUGAACCUGACUCUCAUCACCCAUAAGUUAUUUAUUGACAAGAUCGCUGAACCAGUCUAAUAAAAAAAAAAGAAAGUUUGCACCAAAAAGACAAUAGGUAAUCAAAAAAGAGGUUAGUAAAUUUUUGAGUGCAGGGUUGAUAAAGGAAGUCCAGUAUCCCACGUAACUAGUCAAUGCGGUCCUAGUAAAUAAAGUUAACGAGAAAUAGAGGAUGUGCAUGGAUUUCACAGACUUGAAUAAAACAUUUCCAAAAGAUCAUUACUCGUUGCCGUCCAUCGACAGAUUAGUAAACUCGACCUCGAGUUAUGCAAUAGUUUCCUUCCUCGAUGCUAUUUAAGGAUACCACCAAAUCAUGGACAUAGAUGAUGCAGAGAAAAUUGUGUUAAUGAUAGAUGAAGGAGUUUACUGCUACAAAAUAAUGCCUUUUGGAUUGAAAAAUGUGCGACUAAAGGCUGGUGUCAGGAAUCUUCAAAGACAUGGUGGGAUCAAUAGUCGAAGUGUACGUAGAUGACAUGGAAGUAAAUAGUCGAUCCUUAGAAUAUCAUCCAGAAGAUAUUUGUAAAGUUUCUGAUGUCCUGGACAUGGCGGGUAUGAAGUUGAACCCUGAAAAGUGUACCUUUGGGGUAAAGACUGGGAAGUUUCUAGGGUAUAUCAUCUCAGAAUGAGGUAUAGAAGCGAACCCUGAGAAGAUCAGUGCCAUCCAAAAUAUGGAAGCACCCAAAACCAUCAAUGAAGUACAGAGGUUAAAUAGGCGAGUCAUUGUCUUGGGUGAUUCAUAUCAUGUUCGGUCAGAAGGUGCCUCCCAUUCUUCAAGGCCUUAAAAAGCAAAGGUAAGUUUGAAUGGGGAGGAAGAAUGUGCAGAGGCUUUUGAAAGUCUGAAAAACUUUUAUCAUCUCCUUCAUUGCUAAGCCUACCUGUCAAAAGCAAAGUUUUAUUUUUAUACUUAUUUGUGACGCAAAAAAUAGUUUGCUCAAUGCUUGUUCACGAAAACAAUGGGAAUAAAGCCUAAUAUAUUAUGCCAGCAAAGUUUUGAAGGGGGCAGACUGAAUUAUCAUUCUUUCAAAAAGUUAGUAUUUGCAGUCCUAAUGUUAGCCACAAAACUACGACCAUACUUCAAGUCACACACCAUAGAAGUCAAAGCCGAUUAUCCUCUGCGAAAGGUUCUACACAGACCGGAGCUGUCAAGGUGGUUGUCUACCUGGGCGGUAAUAUUGUCAGUCUAUGAUAUCAGGUAUGUUCCAAGAAAGGUCAUGAAAGCCCAGGUGCUAGCCAAUUUUGUCAGGGAAAUGACUCCGCCAUUAGAACCUUUGGAGUCCCCUGAAUCAAUCAUAGAGGAGGGGAAGGUUUGGGCAGAUGGAGCUUAUGGAGCCAAAGGUUCCGUAAUUGAGAUCCUGUUGCAAUUUCAAACCAAUAUAAAGUUUCGAUAUGCAACAAAGCUCGCCUUCAAUACCACCAACAAUAUAGCCGAAUAUGAGGCUAUAAUAAUGGCCAUGAGAAUCAUCAAGGAAUUAGGUAUAAAAAAUCUAUUAUUUUUAGUGACUCACGACUGAUUAUUAAUUAGUGUCAAGGACAAUUCAAAGUUCGAGAACUGAAUCUUGUCAAAUACAAGAAAAAGGUUCAGAGGCAGCUGCGAACUUUAUUAGGUGGCCAGAGACAACAAUGAAAAGGAAAAUCUUCUAACCAAGAUGACGACAGCAGAUGAAUAGCAUUUGACUUAACUGUUUCACUUUAAGGAAUUGCACACUCCAGCAAUGGAAGUGGAAGAGUCUUAUCCCAUAGAAGAGGGAAAAUCAUGGAUGAUACACAUCUAUAAAUUUCUGACACAAGAUAAUCUUCCAGCCGACUAGUUAUUUGCUAAACAAGUAACAAGGAAGUCUUUUAAAUACGUACUAAUUGAUGGUUGGUUGUACAGGAGGUCCUCCAUGCAGCUAUAGCUGCGAUGUUUUACAGAGGAGGAAGGCCAAGAAAUCCUAAAGGAUAUCCAUGAAGGUGAUUAUGGAAGGCAUGAGGGAGCUUGAACAAUCGCCCAAAAAGCAUUCAGACAAGGGUACUAUUGGCCAAAGGUAAUGCAAGAUGUAAGGCAACUUGUCUAUAAGUGUCGAAGAUGCCAAGUACACACAAACAUUCCAAGGACCUUGGGAGAAAUGCAAGCAACCAUUGGAAGCCUUUGGCGCCUUUUUUUCAGUGGGGGAUAGACAUCCUUGGCCUGUUCCUUAAGGCAUCCAGGUCAAGGAAGUUUGUAAUCAUGGCAGUAAACCAUUUCAGCAAAUGGGCAAAAGUUGAGACAGUACAAUCCAUCACCACCCAGUAAGCAAUUUAAUUUGUCAGCAAAAAUAUAAUCACUCGAUUGGGGAUACCAAAGAUAGUGAUCACCGAUAAUGGGACUCAGUUUGCAAGCUCUAGGUUUAAAGACUUCUACAAGAAAUAGAAAAUUGACUUGAGGUUCAGCUCAGACAAUCAUCACUAGACUAAUGGAAUGACUAAGGUUACAAACAAAACCAUCCUAUAGAGACUAAAGAAAAGGCUCGACCAAGUCAAGGGCAACUGGCUUGAAAAGUUACUUCACAUACUAUGAGCAUACAGGACCACUUCUAGAACAGCUAUAGGAGAAACAUCAUUUUCUCUUGCAUAUAGGGCCGAGGCAGUCAUCCUCAUAGAAAGUCCAAGUAAGUAGCUUCAAUACACAACACCCUAAGAUUUUUGGAAAAUCCAAAGAGAUGUAAUUCAAUUUGGACCAAGCUGAGUUCCUACGAGAAAGGCCGCAAUUAAAAUAGCGAUUUACAAAAAUAAAAUGUCCAGAAUGUUGAACAGUAAGAUCAUGCCACAACCUUUUAAAGUGGAAGUCCUCAAAAGAACAAAUGUAAUAAGUGGCAAUAUCGGGCCUGGUAAGUUGGGUGAGAACUGGAAAGGAUCGUUUAGGAUCUCAAAGUUUAUUCGUUUAGGAUCAUAUAAGCUAGCCAAGUUAAAUGUUCAAAUCAUUCCCCAUGCCUGGAAUAUCUGUAAUCUGAGCAUGUUGUGUUGUUCAGUGAUAAGAAACGAUGUGAUUGCCUUCCUGAAAAUGAUUAAGAAGACGAGAAGAGGCUACGAGGCGAGUGUCGCCAGGCCAAGUCACAAAGCGGGUGUCCCCAGGCCAAGUCACAAAGCAGGUUUCUCCAGACCAUUCGGGUGUUGGUCCCACUAAACUAGGCCACAAGGUAGGUUCUGCCAAGCCAGGUCACAAGACAAGUUUCGCCAGACUGUUUGGACAUUAGUCUCACUAAACAGGACCACAAGGCGAUUUCUGCCAGGCUAGGUGAUACGGAUAAGGAAAUAAUACGAUACUUCAAAAAUUUAAAAAGGGAAACUCCAAAUCAUGACAAAUCAAGUUACUAUCGCUUAAUUCAAGGCUUACGAGAUGAGAACUAUAUUUGGGAAGCAUGGGAGAAGAAGGAAACAAAUCAGACUCUCUUCAACACAUGUGGACGCACAACACAAUUUCAGAUCGCGUAAUGCAUGUAUGACCAAAUUGCAUUUAGGCCAGUUUUAUUAUUUUAGUAUUUUAGUAUUUUGUGGGAUUUGUUUUAAAUUAAUUUGACCUAUAUUAGAAGCCAAAUUCGUGCAGCCCAUUUAGGAAGGAGAUUUCUCCAAGAUAAUUUAGGAAAAUGAUCUUUAAUGUAAUCCAGAUUUGACUAUUUGACUAGAUACCCUUCCUAUAUUGUAAUUACACCUUCCUACAAUAGAAUUAGGGUUUGAAGGCUAUAAAAACAACCUUAAGGUGGCAGCCACGAGAAGGCAGUGAAUAAAAAUGAUUUUUUGAACAAUAUUUGGUUCUUCUCCAUUAUUUGGUAACUUAUCAAGGUUUAACCUUGUGGCGUUCUGAUAUGGAUUUCCUCCAUGCUUAGUUAACUUAUCAAGAAUUUCUUGUGGCGUUCUCGAAGCUGGAAUCGCUUGAUUAUCUAUGUUUCUAAUCACAUGGUUGGUUAGGGGUGUGGUAGAGUAACCUUCGCUUGAUUAUCCAUGUUUCUAAUCACAUUCGUUGGUUAGGGGUGUGGUAGAGCAACCUUCUGGAAGAUAUCUUUGUCUUGUUCUUUAUCAAGUUGUGUGACGGGGUUUUUUAUCACAAGUUGGUCCUGAGUUCCGCAUCACUAGGUCACAAAAUGGAUUCUGCCAGACCACUCGGGCAUUGAUCCUACUAAAUGACUCCAAAAGGCGAGUUUUGUCAGGCUAGGUUAUAAGGUGGAUUUCACCAAACCAUUCAGGCAUCGGUCCCAGUAAAUAAAGCCACAAGGUAAGUUCUGCCAUGCCACAAUCCAAACAUUGUUCCCUAUAAACAGUUGAUCUAUGCCAGACAUCCACAAGGUGGGUAUAACAAUCCCCAAGAGAUGAAGGUGUCAACCAAAGAUUAACGUUAAUAAGGCAAGUCUUAUGACCAAGUAUCAAGACGAGUAACCGAUUGAAAGUGCCUUAUUGCAAAAUUUUGUCAAUGCGUUGGAAAAGCGAGAGUCUGCUAGGCCACAGGCACGAGUAUUAAUCUCGUUUUGCAAAAGUUCUCUAAAUUAUUUUAUAUCUGUUAAGUCCUACAAAGUAAGUGCACUUUAGGUCCCUUCAUUGGGCAGAAAAGGGUGGCCAUUAGAUUCCAUAGUUUGGAUAAAAGAUAGCCCCUUGGCCAAUUGUUCAAAUUAUUGAUAAGUGACAAAGGGAACAAACAAACGCUUAAGGGUAGAUAUACAAAAUAUAUAUUACAAAAGUUAACAAGGGGAUAAGGUGGGCUUCGGCAAGUCUCUAUUACAUCAAAAUAUUUUAAAAAUCUAUCAACAGAGACCCAGUUGGCAGGGUUAUCUCCAACCUCUCGACCUUAUCCUUUAGGAAGAUGUCAUAUGUCCAGAACAAGCCACAUAAAGAACCCCUUCUCUAAUUGCUUUUUUGGCCUAGCCCUUGGAAUCAAUCUUGCACAAUCCAACUCCCUUUGUGAGAUCGUGACACUAAAAAGCCAUUAUAGUAGGAUUGAUUGCAGUCCUCAGAGCUAAAUAGUAUACUUGUACCUUCAUGAAGACUCGACUUUAGUUGCUCUUCAAAGAUCAUGAUAAUAUCCUCCGCACAAAUCAGGCUACUCUCAGGAAAAGAAAAGAAAAUACCCCCAUUCAUGUCUCCCACAGAUGCCAGUCAUAAAUAAAAAGAAGAGAAAGGAGGGUUAUUAUACCGUGGCAUAGCCGACAAAACUUUAAAUAUGCCUCAAAAAAUAAGGCAACUAUCGUGACCAAGGGAAGACAAAAUGAUGUAAGUAGUAAAGGCCAAUCAAAUUAUCGAAAAGACAAACCGUCACUUUUGAAUCUGAAGAACUGAAGACCAGUGAGGGACUACUGAUGCUACAUAACAAUCGCCCAAAAUAAGCCAUGAGUUGUUGCCAUAGAAUAGGUCCAUGUGGCAAGGAUUGAAAAGUAAGCAACAUGGUUCAGCCCGAGAAAAGGAAGGCCCAGACACCUUAGCACCUGGUUGAUCAUUAAGACUCACCCUUCCCUCGAUAGGGCAUGUCUCGGCGCAAAGUUACCGUUAUGAGACACAAUUUAGUGUAUCAUCAUUACGCAUAUAAUCAUAGGAUUACCAACCCAUUAGCUGACGAUAUUCCUUAACAAACAGCCAACUACAUCAUUGCCGGAUUAUCAAAAAAUGCUAUAUUCAUCUCCACUUACUUAUAUAGUAUAAAAGAAGAAAAAUCAUAGAGGUAAAGGUACGCUGUUUUUUGACGCAAAAACUCUAAGAAAUUUACUAUAUUCACUAUCUUCUCCAGUAUUUUGACUUGAGUGUUAGAGUAACUGCCCUAAGCACCCAUCACUAUCUCAUAUUCUCUUCUUUGUAUGUGUAGUCAAUCACAACGUAACUCCAUUCUGGUCACGUCAUCGAUUUAGACUUUGAAACAUCACUAACUAGUUAGAUAAAUAAAUAGACUAAUGCUUAAUGGUUUGAAAACAUAGGGACUCAUUAAUUUGUUUUUGAAAAUAAAGAGAUCAAAUAAUUAGUUUUAUUUAACUACACAGAUCAAAUAGUAAUUGCUGCUAUAAACAAACUAUUUUGCUGAACGACAGAGUUUUAACGGAAAACCACAUCGUUUCGAUUUUGGGGGUUACAGACGAGCCCUAAAAUACAUGUCCCGAUGUGCAGCUGCUCUUUUCCCCUUUCUUUCUCGGCUCUACCCUCGACCCUUUUUCUAUUUGUCCCCCAACUCAUCUCUUAUCCUCCUUCGAGCUCAGACGACUGUCUUGCCCUCUCUCACUUGCAUUCUCGAAGGUGAGACUUGCUUAUUUUAAAAAAUGUCACAGAUUUCGUCUCACAAUACUGUGAUUUCAGGUGUCGUGUCCAUAUCUGAGUAUCUUUAAUUCCCGACCAAGUUUGGUUACUCUAAAGCUUACCAAUGAACUGCUAUGGACAGAUGAUUUUAGCCUUCGAUUUUGGGCCUUUGUCUUUGUCAAUCAUCUUUAUAUGUGCCUUUUGUGUUCUGGGAUUAACUGUUUUAUGCAAAUUCCCCCCUCUAUUUCCCGGGUCAUUCUCUUGUUAUUGUUGUUACUGAUAUGUGAUGUAAAGCUUUUAUUUUCAUAUAUCCCUUUGUUAUAUGCAGAUGAAUAGGGAGAGACUUAUGAAGAUGGCUGGUGCCGUUCGCACUGGUGGGAAGGGCAGCAUGAGAAGGUGGGAUGUGUAUUUCAACUUCUAACUAUCAAAUUUAUCUCAUACGAUAUGCCUAUAUCAAGUAUUUAUCAAUUGGGUACUAUUUAAAUUUUCUUAUGAGUGGUUUGGCUUUGGCUACAAUGAGUUUCUGGCAGUACUUGGUUGCAAAUAUUCUUUUAAAGCUUUGUUCUUUACCACAGAAAGAAGAAGGCCGUACACAAGACUACCACUACGGAUGAUAAAAGGCUUCAGAGUACACUGAAGAGAAUAGGAGUGAAUGCUAUUCCUGCAAUAGAGGAGGUCAACAUAUUUAAGGAUGACACAGUUAUUCAGUUUGUGAACCCCAAAGGUGAAGGCUGCUUAUGCUUAUGGAUUGAUUUAUUUACAUCUUAUAAGCUGCUCAUAGUAAACAAGCUUUAUAAUUUUUUUUUUUUAAAUUUCAGUUCAAGCAUCAAUUGCUGCCAAUACAUGGGUUGUUAGCGGCUCUCCGCAGACUAAGAGUAUGGCUCUAAUUCUCCCAUCACUUGUAGGCAUUACAUGACUUCUAUUUCCAAUACUUGGAUUUGCUAUGGUUUUGUUUUCAAAUGUCGCGCUUGUGGUUGUCGCUUGCCCUUGAGACUAAGAAGGUUGACAGUAUUAUGUGAAGAAUGACUGAAGAGGCCAAGAUGAAGUAACAAAAAUUAUAAAUAAGAAUGUUAUCAAAGGUGACGUUAAGACACUACUGAAUUGUUUAUGAAAUAAUAGAAAAGCUUAAAAAUUAUGAACUUCAGGAUAUUGUGUGCCUAUAGUUGAAUAAAGAUGCCUCAAAGGUGAAAGGAGCUAUGUUACUUGGACUCGUAUAUGGAUGUCAGAUAUGGGUGCAUAUCAUGGAGGUAUGGAUCUAAGUUUAGACAUAGGUGCUUCGAUAAGAUAUAUUAUGUAAAAUAAAUUAGAAUAAAAAAUAUAAAAUUACAUAGUGAUAAUUAUAGUUUAAAUAGAUUAUUAAAUACAACUAAAUAUAUCAUCCAAAAUACAAUUAAAGAAAUAUUUUUAUGCAAAUACAUAAACUUAAUCUUGAGAGAGAAGAAUGCUCCAUUAACUAUGCAUGAAUAUAUCACUCAAGCAUCUAAGUGCACGAAUAUGUGUUAGACAUCAUAGUUGUGAAAGGCUCAAGGUGCACCGAGGUGCAAAGGGGGUUUGGAGCCUAGACGCAAGGCGCAAGCCCGCGCCCGAGUAAUGUGAGGCACUAAAAAGAAAAAGAUAGAUAAAAAUCCAAAGAUUCAUUAACAUUCUAGUAAACAUAAACCAAAAUGUAAUAAAGUUAAAGUAAAAAACAUCAAAUGCUAACACUAACAAUUCUAUAAUCACUAUUCACAUUCACAUUUCUAUAACCACAAUCAUAAUGCAUCUUCAUAAUCACAAUUUCACUAUUCACAGAAUACAUUACUUGGUCUCUCUCUACAAUCAUAAUGGCACAAUUCACAAUACAUCAAGUACUUAAAGCACAAUUCUCACCUAAUUGAACACAAAUUCACAAGUAACAUACAGCUGAAAAAAAAAGAAACAGAAUAGCAAUAGCACAGAACAGAUGCAGCAACAGAUCUGGUCGACAGCAACAUUAGAAAGUGUUGAAUCCCACAUCGGUUGUGGAAAGGGGUAAUGUGCCUCUCAUAUGGGCUAUAGGCACUCCUCUCCCUUGAGCUAGCUUUUGGGGUGAGUUAGACCUGGCCCAAAUUUAACAUGGUAUCAGAGUCUCUCCAUCCGAUGUUGGGCCUCCUAUUAAUAUGUCAUGUACCAGUAAAAUUCUGGGCAUAUAAACAUGUUAUGUACCAAUAAAAUUCUGGGCGUGAGAGGCUGUGUUGAAUUCCACAUCGGUUGUGGAAAGGGGUAAUGUGCCCCUUAUAUGGGCCAUAGGCACUCUUCUCCCUUGAACUAGCUUUUGGGGUGAGUUAGGCCUGGCCUAAUUUUAACAGAAAGAAAAAAAUUGGGCGGCAUGCCUGCAGAAUUACAACCAUAGGGAGAAUAAAUGAGAACAGAAAGAGGAAAAUGAGAUGAGAAGGAAGAAAAAGAGAAAGAAGAAAAAGAGGAAGGAGGAUGAUAAACAAAAAAACAAAAAAAAGAAAUAGUUACUUGAGAUGGGAUUAAACAGGUAUGUAAAAUAUUAAUGAUUAUUCAUUAUUCCUCUUCUUUUUUUUUUUUCCUUUCUCUUUUUCUUUUUUCUUCUUUUUUCUCCUUAUGGCAUAUGCUGUCUUGAAAAUAAAAGAUCUAGGGCAAAAAAUUUGACACCUUAGAGAAAGGGUGCGUGGUACGGCGCAGGCCCAACUCUCCAACGCAUGCCUGAGUGCGCUUGGGCUACAGCGCCCGCCUGGGGUGGUGCAAGGCACUAGCCCUGGCGCUUGGUGCGCCUUGCGCCUCAAGCGCGCCUUUCACAACAGUGUUAGACAUAUAUCCCAUGUUUUAUCCCAUGAAGUGUCAUGUUGACAUGAGUAUCGCAUGGUAAAAUAAAGAGUCAAAGUAUCAAAGGAAAGGAGUCAUGGAGCUAGGCACGUAAGUGGUAAGAUGCACAGUUAAUAAAUUAAGACACCUUAUCUUGUAUAAUAGAACUGUUCAUAUUAAUAGCAUAAAAUAAUUGGAAUUCACCAUCUUUCCUUUUGACUAAAACAAACUACAUAAAACUUAAGUCUAAUUAACAAGCUACAUGCUUAUCAAUUCAUGCAAGUUGGUUUAAUGGGUAGCAGAUUCAUCAAAGAAAAAGGCAAAAGAAAACAAGAAAUGCGGGGUUUAGGAGGCAGCAUAGGAGAAUGAAGCAAAGGAAGUGAGGAAAGUUGCAGAAUAGAUGCGAGAAAGAAGGGAAAAAAGGGACCAAUUGAGGAACAGCUGUGGUAGAUUGAAGAAAAGGGAGUGAAUGAAAAUUACGAUAGCUAAGCUUAUAAAAGAAAAAGAUCCCAGAAAACAAAUCUUUUAUGCAUUUUUUUUUAUUUUAAUUAAUUGCUAUGCAUGAUGUGAUGGGUUAUAUAAUUUUAAUCUCCUCAAUUACUUUUACUAAGUCUUUGUGUUCCUCGAAUGUUAUCUUUUGUCCUGCCUUUUCCUUCCUUGUGCAGCCAUUCCUAUUUUCCUUUUUCCAGUUUUCUUCUUGAACUGGAGUCCCAUUGAAGUCUAUUAAGAUAUUCAAAUCCUAACCAAAAGUAAUUUGGCCCCUGUUUUUUCAUAUAUUUCCAAAAAUCCAUAAAUUAUAAUAACGUAUCUGAUUGCUUAAAUUGCAGAAAACAUAAUACCAAAUUACUUUUGAUGUCCCCAAUAUGAAAUCUAGACCAGAAUUCUAAAUUUCUCAGGUCUUCUGAAUGUUGAAAUUGCAGAAAUACAGUACCAAAAUGCUCUAUGAUGUCUCUAAUAUGAAAUCUAGACUGCAUUUGUUAAUUAACCAUUUCUCUUGCUCAGUCCCAUGUGUACAAUUGAGCUUACAUUGCAUGAGAACUAACGAGUUUUCAUUUUCUUUUUCUUCAGAAUUGCAAGAUAUUCUCCCUCAAGUACUAAGUCAUUUGGGUAUGCAAAUUCCAAUUUGCUACAUGGUAGUUUAGUUAAAUUUGGAGUUUGUAUUUGACCGUAUUCUACUAACUCGAUUUUAUUUUUUUAAAUCUGCUAAUGUAUAGGUCCUGAUAAUUUGGACAACUUGAAGAAGUUGGCGGAGCAGAUCCAGAAGCAGGUGCCUAGUGAUGGUGCUCCAGCAACUGCAGCACAAGAGGAUGAUGAUGAGGUCCCAGAGCUUGUAGCUGGGGAGACUUUUGAAGCUGCUGCAGAGGAGGGUAACGCUAACCCUGCUGCUUAGGAAAUAUAGACAGGGAGUUUGUGCUAUUUUAUAAUACACUUCCUACUUCUUUCUUUCUUUUUUUUAUUUUUUAUUUUUAAAAUUUGUCAAGUUCUUGCUUUUGUAGGUUAUAACUCGAUCAUUCAUCUUAUUUUCUAGAGAUACUGGAUGGUUCAGAUCGACUUUAUAGUUUCUGAGCAAUUUCUGAUUCGUGGUCAGUAUUUUACCAUUUUUAAUUGCAAUUUUUAAAUAGUUGUAGACCUCAAAUCUGUUGUUCUCCCCUCUCUAAGCCACCGAGACGUGUAGUAAUGCGGACAAAAGCAAAACAGAGCGUAAUAUGGUUGGAUUUGAGCUCAAAUUAGCCAUGAACUAGUGUCGUUCCUGUUUUAUUCUUUUUUUUCUUUUUUUUCUUUGCUAAAGAUGGAGUCCUGUAAUAAUGAAAUGUGGAUAUUGGCAUUAAAAAUUUAUAUCUUUGCUGUUUUUUUGCAUCUUAAUCCAAUUUUUUAUUUUUGACACAAUAAAUUUGAAUUUAAAAGCUUUUGACGAUUUACUUAUAGAUUUAGUCUGAUGACAAGUGUAUCAGAUUUAGUCGGAAGUGUAUUUGAUUAAAUUUGAAAGGUCUAGAUUUUACUCGACCAAUUUCUAAUCCCAUUUUCCAAAAAAAAAAACAGAUUUUAUCUAAUAUUUGAAUUUCAAAUUAUGGAACAGGUGCAGUAGUUUAUGUGUUAUAUGAUAUGUACUGUUUUAAUACUUUCUAUGGGAAUACGCAUUACACAUUGAAUAAUAAAAAUACACAUUACUUGCCACCAUAUAAUAAAAGUUACCUCACUGUAUAAUAAAACUAACUAAAAAUAAAAGUGUGCAAUUGAUUGGUAAAAUAAAGUACUUGUUUUUUAUAAUCACAUUACAAUUUGGUAUUGUUUAUAAUCAAAGCACUAAUGAAAUUUAAAAAUAAUGUAGAAUAUGAGAAUUAAUUUAUAGUUAGCAAUAAUGAAUCUAUAAAUAAAAAAAAAAGUGUAAUAGUAAUAAUUAAAUAUUCAAAAAAAGUCACAAAAUUUAUGAGAUUCAACUAAGAUAUUCAUUUCAAACUAACAAAUACUACAAAUCUACUUAAUUAUAUUAUAAUGAAAACUAUCAUUGAUGAACCAACUCAUAAAAUCUAGAUUUUAUGAUUUUGUGAAUGAACAUAUCAUUGAUAAACAGACUAAUUGUUGUACGCCAACAACCAUCAAAAGAAAAUCUCAAUAGCAAAGAAGGCAUUGACUUUGGCAUACUAACAACCAUUAGAUACGAAAUAGAAAUAGGGCAUUGUUAUAAACUAAUAGCCAUUGAAGGCGCAAUUUGACCACAUGUAAGGGUAUAAAGAUGAAAACAUCAUCUUCUUAGGGAAGAUUAAUAAGAAAAGAAUGUCGUUUUCUUAGAGAUAAGGGCAUUGUCUUUUCUAGAAUAUGUAAAUGUCGCUUUCAUCUUCUAUGAAAGCUACAAAAGAAAGAUACAAGCAAAAAAUAAGGAAGAAGAAGAAAAGUAAAAGAAUGGAAAAAGAAAAGGAAUGGGACGGCUAGUGAAUGAUAAUAAGAUGAAAAAUGAUUAAAAAAAAAUGUUUUAAUUGGUUAGGUUUAAGAGGAACGAAAUGGUGUGUGAUGUUCUGAGAUUCAGAAAAUAGGGUUUUACAGUGUGUGUAUUCUUGGAUGGAGAGGAAGGUUUUUCCCUCCUUUUAUUUCUUUUCUUUUGUCUGCUAAUGAUGUCUAAUGGCCUCUCUGCUAUAGUGUCACUUGUCUCUGUCAUGCAGGUCCGUACGUAUGGCCAAGCGGCCAUUUAAUUUCCCUCGGCUCACAUGCGGGCAGGGCUGCGAAAUGACUAAGCCUGCUAUCCUUCAUCACAUCACAUCACCGGGCUGGGUAUCUUCUCAUCAAACCUGGGCUCACGGACGACUGGCUUGCCCCAUGUGUCUGGGCCAAGACUUAAGAUGAUGGACCGGUUAACUAAAGAAGGCCCCAUGGGCUUUGGAUCAGCGCUGCUUUCUUGGGUCCGGCCUUGCCCAGGGGUGGUAAGGCCCGACGGUCAUCAAUUGCCCCUUUACCUUCUCAGCAGUUAUUGCAUGAUUGAUGAGGGGGUAAAUCUCUAGAACCCAUUAUGACCGCACGACCUGAGGACGGCUCCCAUCAAAACGUCUUUUCUUUGUCUUACUGUUUUCAAAAUUCAAAACCCCAAAUUUUCACAAAACUCUUCUUCUCCUUUUGCUCUUUGUGUGCUCGAUCUCUCUCGUUUUCCUGCAAAAUUGUCUUCAAGGUACGUCUUUUGCUUUGCAAUGGAUAGUCUUAGGCUUUCUGAUGUCAUGAAUCUAGAGUCUAACAUCACCCCUUCUUCCCUGGCAACCUUCUUUUCUCGGGAGUACUUGGAUACCCCUUUUUCGUAUUAGGGCUCCUUACCGCAACGAGAAGAUCGUUCUUCCCGAUCCUUCUCCCUCUGGUCUCAUUGACCCCAGAGGGACCGUAGCCUAGUUUUUUUUUAUUAAACAAUGAGAGUUUGGCUUGACCUUCCAUUUCUCCCUUUUUUUGUUGAGGUCUUCCGAUACUUUGAGAUAACUCCUCACAUGCUUACCCCCAACUCGAUUUUUUUCAUGUGCUCCUUCAAAUCUGUCAGUCUAAGUUGGGGUUUCACUCCUACAACUCGUUUAUUUUCCAUCUUCUUUCGCCUGGUCUGAGCUAGUUAGGGUUUCUAUUACUUUGCUCUGCGAGGAGGAUUGUCUAUUUUUUUCGGGUCAUAAAGACUCCAUCAAGGGUUGGGCAGAGGAAUUUGCUGUGGUAGAGUUGAAGGGAGGCCCCGAGUUGUCAUGGCAGAUCGAUCUCCCCUAAAGGAAUGUGUCCCCGUACUGCAACGACCUUCCUAAACUAAAUAGCUUAGUUGACUCUUGAUGUUGCUGUCACAUACUCCACUUUAGCUGUGGACUGAGCAACCACACUGUAUUUUCUUGAAUUUCUCCAAAUCAUACUUGGUCCUACUGUAAAAAAAAAAAAUCACUUCUGCUCUUCAUAUUAUCUAAGGACCCUAUCCAAUCACUGUCAACAUAUCCUUCCAAUUUCAUGUAUUUUUCCUUCUAUACAUAAUUCCAAGGCCGUUGUUCCUUUAAUAUAUCUUAAUACCCAUUUUGCAGCUUUGAAGUGAAUUUCACUUAGACAUAAAUCUUGAAAGCAAACUUCCUGCAAGCAUCAUAUAUAGUCUUGUUGUUAUUAAGUAAAACAAACAACCAAUUAGACUUCUAUAUACAACUUCACCUACCUUAGUUGCACUAUCUAUUUUACUCAAUUUCUAUUUGGAGCUAAAGGAGUGCUGACAAUUUUUGCAUUAAGCAUACCAAACUUCUUAGGAAAUAAUUUUGCUAAUUUAUUUUAUUAGGAAAUAAUUCUCGAAUUUAAUAUUGGAGCCGAUUAUAAACAAUUGAAACUAAAAAUGUUACUAUGUAAUUUUUAUAAUUCAGUGAAUUUAAUUAUUUAGUUCCUUAUUUUUUAAAAUAUAAUAAUUAAUCUAUAUCUUUUUAAAUUAUUAAUUAUUUAGUUUUUAUCAUUUCUUCGAAUUACUAAAUAACUAUGUUUUUGAAAGUAUAGGAGCUUAAUAGUAAUAGUUUUAAAAUUCUAAAGACUGAAUCAUUCUAUUUUAGAAUUACGAAGAUGAAAAAGGAUAAUAAUACUAUAGUCAUUUAACGCAUUACUAACUAGUUGGAUAAAUGGAAAGACCAAUGCUUAACCCACUAAUGUGUUCUGGAAAAAAGAGGGAUCAAAUAAUUAGUUUUAUUUAACUACAGGGAGCAAAUAGUAAUUGUUGUUAUGAACAAACUAUUUUUCUGAACGACAGAGUUUUAACGGAAAACAACAUCGUUUCGAUUUUGGGUGUUACAGACUAACCCUAAAAUACAUGUCCCGAUGUGCAGCUGCUCUUUUUCCCUUUCUUUCUCGGCUCUACCCUCGACCCGUUUUCUAUUUGUCCCCCAACUCAUCUCUUAUCCUCCUUCGAGCUCAGACGACUGUCUUGUCCUCUCUCACUUGCAUUCUCGAAGGUGAGACUUGCUAAUUUUAAAAAAAUCUCACAGAUUUCUUCUCACAAUACUGUGAUUUCAGGUGUCAUGUCCAUAUCUGAGUAUCUUUAAUUCCCGACCAAGUUUGGGUACUCUAAAGCAUACCAAUGAACUGCUAUGGACAGAUGAUUUUAGCCUUCGAUUUUGGGCCUUUGUCUUUGUCAAUCAGCUUUAUAUGCGCCUUUUGUGUUCUGGGAUUAACUGUUUUAUGCAAAUUCCCCCCUCUAUUUCCCGGGUCAUUCUCUUGUUAUUGUUGUUACUGAUAUGUGAUGUGAGGCUUUUAUUAUCAUAUAUCCCUUUGUUAU